This 253-nucleotide ribosomal RNA is filed under the name uncultured bacterium. RNAcentral's name for it is "partial 16S ribosomal RNA". It matches the Rfam family "Bacterial small subunit ribosomal RNA", at positions 524 to 776 of the family's 1533-position model. The record is from RNAcentral.
UACGAAGGGGGCUAGCGUUGCUCGGAAUCACUGGGCGUAAAGGGCGCGUAGGCGGACGACUAAGUCGGGGGUGAAAUCCUGGGGCUCAACCUCAGAAUUGCCUUCGAUACUGGUUGUCUCGAGACCGGAAGAGGUAAGUGGAACUGCGAGUGUAGAGGUGAAAUUCGUAGAGAUUCGCAAGAACACCAGUGGCGAAGGCGGCUUACUGGUCCGGUGCUGACGAUGAGGCGCGAAAGCGUGGGGAGCAAACAGG